Molecule: ribosomal RNA, 407 nt
Filed under: uncultured bacterium
Lineage: Bacteria
Description: partial 16S ribosomal RNA
Rfam family: Bacterial small subunit ribosomal RNA
Source: RNAcentral
AUUGAACGCUGGCGGCAGGCCUAACACAUGCAAGUCGAGCGGAGCUGGGGGCGGGUGGGUGAGGACUAGGAAGCUGCCCGGCCGAGGGGGAUAGGGUACAGAAAGGGGCGCGAAUAUCGCAUACUAUCAGAUGAGCCUAGGUCGGAUUAGCUAGUUGGUGGGGUAAAGGCUUACCAAGGCGACGAUCCGAAACUGGCCUGAGAGGAUGAUCAGUCACACUGGAACUGAGACACGGUCCAGACUCCUACGGGAGGCAGCAGUGGGGAAUAUUGGACAAUGGGCGAAAGCCUGACCGAGCCAUGCCGCGUGUGUGAAGAAGGUCUUCGGAUUGUAAAGCACUGUAAGUUGGGAGGCGUUACCAACAGAAUAAGCACCGGCUAACUUCGUGCCAGCCGCCGCGGUAAUAC